This 497-nucleotide ribosomal RNA is filed under the name uncultured bacterium. Its description in RNAcentral is "partial 16S ribosomal RNA". It matches the Rfam family "Bacterial small subunit ribosomal RNA", at positions 28 to 507 of the family's 1533-position model. The record is from RNAcentral.
GAUGAACGCUGGCGGCGUGCCUAAUACAUGCAAGUCGAGCGAACGGACGAGAAGCUUGCUUUUCUGAUGUUAGCGGCGGACGGGUGAGUAACACGUGGAUAACCUACCUAUAAGACUGGGAUAACUUCGGGAAACCGGAGCUAAUACCGGAUAAUAUUUUGAACCGCAUGGUUCAAAAGUGAAAGACGGUCUUGCUGUCACUUAUAGAUGGAUCCGCGCUGCAUUAGCUAGUUGGUAAGGUAACGGCUUACCAAGGCAACGAUGCAUAGCCGACCUGAGAGGGUGAUCGGCCACACUGGAACUGAGACACUGUCCAGACUCCUACGGGAGGCAGCAGUAGGGAAUCUUCCGCAAUGGGCGAAAGCCUGACGGAGCAACGCCGCGUGAGUGAUGAAGGUCUUCGGAUCGUAAAACCCUGUUAUUAGGGAAGAACAUAUGUGUAAGUAACUGUGCACAUCUUGACGGUACCUAAUCAGAAAGCCACGGCUAACUACGUG